This 254-nucleotide long non-coding RNA is filed under the name Glycine max (soybean). RNAcentral's name for it is "long non-coding RNA (GMAX_LNC000163)". The record is from RNAcentral. Lineage: Eukaryota; Viridiplantae; Streptophyta; Magnoliopsida; Fabales; Fabaceae.
GAAGGUUGAGACUUCACAGGGCGAGAUUCCUCCUUUGAAGAAGGAAACAUCAUGUUAGAGGCUUCGUCAAAUUCUUCUUGCUUAUGUUCCAAUCUUCCUGAUCUUGAAUGCCAUGGAAUGGGAGAAGGAAGCACCACACUCUCUUUCUUCUUGUUCUCAGCUCUAGAACCUUCAACUUUUGUGUUUCUGUUUGAAUUGCUUGAAAAUCUUUUGGAAGAUGUUGACCUUUUUUGAGACUGAACUUCAGCAUCGAC